Molecule: ribosomal RNA, 503 nt
Filed under: uncultured bacterium
Lineage: Bacteria
Description: partial 16S ribosomal RNA
Rfam family: Bacterial small subunit ribosomal RNA
Source: RNAcentral
AUUGAACGCUGGCGGCAGGCUUAACACAUGCAAGUCGAGCGGGGUGAUGGUGCUUGCACUAUCACUUAGCGGCGGACGGGUGAGUAAUGCUUAGGAAUCUGCCUAUUAGUGGGGGACAACAUCUCGAAAGGGAUGCUAAUACCGCAUACGUCCUACGGGAGAAAGCAGGGGAUCACUUGUGACCUUGCGCUACUAGAUGAGCCUAAGUCGGAUUAGCUAGUUGGUGGGGUAAAGGCCUACCAAGGCGACGAUCUGUAGCGGGUCGGAGAGGACGAUCCGCCACACUGGGACUGAGACACGGCCCAGACUCCUACGGGAGGCAGCAGUGGGGAAUAUUGGACAAUGGGGGGAACCCUGAUCCAGCCAUGCCGCGUGUGUGAAGAAGGCCUUAUGGUUGUAAAGCACUUUAAGCGAGGAGGAGGCUCUUUUGGUUAAUACCCAAGAUGAGUGGACGUUACUCGCAGAAUAAGCACCGGCUAACUCUGUGCCAGCCGCCGCAGUAA